UACGUAGGGUGCAAGCGUUGUCCGGAAUUAUUGGGCGUAAAGAGCUCGUAGGCGGUUUGUCGCGUCUGCUGUGAAAACUCAGGGCUUAACCCUGAGCCUGCAGUGGGUACGGGCAGACUAGAGUGUGGUAGGGGAGAAUGGAAUUCCCGGUGUAGCGGUGAAAUGCGCAGAUAUCGGGAGGAACACCGGUGGCGAAGGCGGUUCUCUGGGCCUUACCUGACGCUGAGGAGCGAAAGCGUGGGGAGCGAACAGG
RNAcentral lists this ribosomal RNA (253 nucleotides) under uncultured bacterium. RNAcentral describes it as "partial 16S ribosomal RNA". It matches the Rfam family "Bacterial small subunit ribosomal RNA", at positions 524 to 776 of the family's 1533-position model. The record is from RNAcentral.